RNAcentral lists this long non-coding RNA (4908 nucleotides) under Gadus morhua (Atlantic cod). Its description in RNAcentral is "lncRNA (ENSGMOG00000031524.1)". Lineage: Eukaryota; Metazoa; Chordata; Actinopteri; Gadiformes; Gadidae. The record is from RNAcentral.
AUGCAGCAGGAGCAGGAAGAUUUGGGAAAGGAAAGGGAAGUUUUAAGUUUAAUUAAGAAGCGAAGUGGAAAACUCGGCGCUCUCACACGAAAGCGGAAUGAAAUUCACACUUUGAUCGAUAAUGGAGAGAAUACCACCGUCAUUGAAGAACACAUGAAAGUUUACAAUCGUUUCCUGGAGGAGUUUAUGGACGUACAAGUGGCUGUGCAAAGCUUAUUGAACGAGGACGAGAGAGAAUCUGACCACACCGACUGGUAUGAACCCAAAUUGAUAAGCUGCAGAGAAUUUAUUGAUGACAUAGAAACGUGGCUAAAACAAGACGCCUCGCAGGAUGCCGCUAAUAAUGUAAGCGCCGUGGAAAAUGUGUCUCACGCUGCAUCUCGUAAAAGCUAUGACGUAGAGCCCCACGAUAGCGUCUCACAGACCGCAAAACCCGCACGCCCCAGUAGCAAAGCAGCUGCGAGCAAGUCCUCUAGUUCAUCCUCUGCCAGUAGAAAAAGUAAAACCCUUUCAGAGAUGGCAAUUCAGGCCGAGCUGGAGCGCGUAACCCUGCUAAAGCAGGCUGACGCGUUACAAGAAAAACACGCGCUUGAACUUGAAGAAGCCCAAUUAAACGCAGUAAUGAAAGCCAAAAGAGAAACGCUGUCCGUUAAAACUAACUUGGCCAUCGCAAAGGCGAAGUCACAGGUGUUUAAAGAACAAGAAGAAACACAAAAAUCGAAAAGUCUAGCGUCCUCUGGAGCCUCUACACCCACACAAUUCAUAUCGCCCCAAAGAGCUAUGAAACAGACAAAAAUGUCACCGGCUCCCGUUCCGUUGUCUACCGUUGGACCUACUACGUCAGUCGCCCCCCCCAUAUAUGCAAAAAGCAAAGCAAAAACACGUCAUCUACAGCAAAGUGCAGACAGUAAUAAUGACCAACCCGAUUUAGCUGAAGCAAUGCGCAGGCAAAAUGAGAUUACUGCAAUGCUGAUUAAGCAGCAGAGACAGUCACCUUUACCACCCAUACAAGUACCAGUUUUUGAUGGUGAUCCCCUGCAAUUCAGAUCCUUUAUCAAAGCAUUUGAACAAGGCAUUGAGAGCAAGACAGAUGAUAUGCAGGUUAAGCUUUAUUAUUUAGAGCAAUUCACAUCUGGGCAGCCCAGAAAGCUGGUGCAGAGCUGCAUGCAUAUGAGCCCACAAACUGCAUUCGGAGAGGCUAAAAAGCAGUUGGAGUGGAACUUCGGAAGCAAAGUGAAAGUUACAGCUGCAUUUCUGAACAAGGCAUUGGAUUGGCCAGCCCUGAAAGCAGAUGACGGCGUAGGUGUAGCAUUAAGAUCAUACACAUUUUUCCUAAGAACCAGUUAUAACACAACGGAGGACGCCGGAUAUUUGGACGAAAUGGAAAACUCCUCACACAUGAAGGUGUUCGUCUCCAAGCUGCCGUUCAGGAUGCGUGAGUCCUGGAGGAUGAAAGUGUGCAGCAUCAGAGAGGAGCAAAAACGGAGAGUGAAAUUCAGAGACCUACUGGACUUCCUGGAAAGGCAAGUGAGAGCUGCAAUGGACCCCGUCUUCUGUGAAAUUCAAAAUACAAGAGCAAAAGCCACAACACCACCAACCCCCAAGUCAAUUGGAAAAGCCAAAGGCAGCAGCUUCGCCACCUCUGUUGCUCAGGUGCCACACCAGAGUGACACGCCCAACGUUGGAAAUGCAGGCAAAAUUCAGUGCUUGUUUUGCAAUGACGGCCACAUACUUGACAAGUGCACAACAUUCAAAAAGAAACCAAACAAAGACAAAAUUACGUUUUUACAGAGCAAAGGCGUGUGCUUUGGAUGCUUAGUACAAGGUCACUUAAGCAGGAACUGUCAAGAAAGGCUGACAUGCCGCACCUGCAGUAAGAAUCAUCCAACAGUUCUGCACAUCGAACCAAAACCUCAGAACACCCCAGCCGACCAUGAAACACAAACGGUCUCCAACGCACUUGUGUCCUUGGACUCUGAAGGUGAUACUGGGGUCGGUUCUAAAGAAUGCUCGCUGUCUGUUCUACCUGUCAAAGUCAGACUAAACAAAAGCACAAAAGUAAUCGAAACAUACGCUUUCUCGGACCCAGGCAGCUCAGCCACAUUCUGUACCGAGUCAUUAAUGACUCAGCUGAACGCACCUGGACAAAAAAUGGACAUACUGCUGAAGACGAUGGGGCAGGAGAAGUAUGUGAGUAGUCAUAAGAUCUCUGGCUUGGAAGUAGCUGCCUUAAAUGACAACAAAUUCUUGAGACUGCCAGAUGUGUACACUCAAAAGUCAAUCCCUGUCACGAAAGACAACAUACCCAAAGAAGAAGACCUUAAAAAAUGGCCUUACUUACAAGAAGUGGAACUGACGCCCAUCAAUGCAAGUAUUGGACUGCUGAUUGGUGCAAACGCACCUAAAGCACUGGAACCAUGGAAAAUAGUCAACAGUGAAGGUAAUGGACCCUACGCUGUCCAGACUAGUCUUGGAUGGGUCAUCAACGGCCCACUUGGACAAGAAGAUAGCGACGACAGCGAUACAGCUUCCGUACAGGUGAAUCGCAUCUCAUUAGGAAAAUUGGAAGAAAUGUUGAUUAAGCAGUAUAAUCAAGAUUUUGUCGAACAGCACUGUGACGAACACGCUGAAUUGUCUGUGGAGGACAAACAGUUUAUGGAAAUACUGUCAAGUGUGAGCUCCAUUUACGACCCACUAGGGUUCUUAAGCCCGGUGAUACUCCCCGCAAAGCAGAUUCUGCAGCAGCUGUGCAAGUUGAAGCUGGCGUGGGAUGAGGCAAUACCACCAGAGAUGGCACAAACAUGGCAAAGGUGGGUGGAUGAUUUGAUUCUGUUACACUCAUUCAGUGUCAGAAGAUGCUUCACACCUAGUGAAUUUGGAAAUGUAGAAAUGGCACAGCUGCAUCACUUUUGUGAUGCCAGCGAAGUUGGAUUCGGUGCCGUAUCAUACUUACGGCUAACUAACAGCGAGAAGGAAGUGUGUGUUGCUUUUGUUAUAGGCAAAGCAAGGGUGGCUCCACUCAAGCACGUCACCAUACCUCGCCUGGAACUGGCUGCAGCAGUCGUUGCUGUGCGCCUGGACAAGAUGCUGUCAAAACAGUUGGAGCUCAACCUCAGUGAGUCAGUCUUUUGGUCCGACAGCAUGACCGUCCUAAAAUACAUCGCAAACACCACCACUCGCUUUAAGACCUAUGUAGCCAAUAGAGUUUCCAUCAUAAGUUCACUGUCUAAUGUCGGUCAGUGGAGACAUGUUGGCUCUAAGAUGAAUCCUGCAGACGCAGCUUCGCGAGGCAUGAAAGUUGGAGCCUUCCUGAAGUCCUCAACCUGGAUCACUGGUCCUGACUUUCUCGGAAAAACCGAGCGUGAGUGGCCAGCAAGCGUGGACAAAGCAUCGCUGCAUCCGGACGCUGACCCAGAAGUGAGAGAGGAGGUCCUUUCCUUCGCCGCACAGGCGGAAGAAGUAUGUCCCACCACUAAACUGUUGCUGCACUUCUCUAGCUGGACAAGGCUCAAGAGAGCCGUGGCAUGGAUUAUGAAACUGAAAGAAAAGCUAAGGCUAAAGAUAAAAGAAAAUGCACAAUGUGGAGAUCAAACUCCUGUCAAACAGGUAAAGAAAACAAACUACUUACCACUCACAGUCGAUGACCUGCUCUUAGCAGAGGAGGCAAUAGUGCGCUUUGUGCAAAAGAAACAUUACUCCAGCGAAUUGGCUGCACUGAAAUCAGGUGGUGUAAAGAAAUCCAGUCAACUGUACAAACUUGACCCCAUUGCCAUUGAUGAUGUAUUGAGAGUUGGUGGUAGGCUGAGCAGGUCCGCUCUACCUGUGGAAACAAAACACCCUGCAAUACUACCAAAAGAAAGUCACGUCUCAAAGCUCAUUCUUCAACAUGUACACAAUAAAGUUGGUCACAGGGGAAGAAAUCAUAUGCUCUCAACCCUACGACGAAAGUACUGGAUUCCUCAUGCAAAUGCAGCAGCCAGAAAGAUCAUCAGUGAGUGUGUGAUAUGCCUAAAGCAGCGCCAAAGACCAGGUGAGCAGAAAAUGUCUGACCUGCCUGUUGACAGAGUCACAGCUGAUGCCCCACCAUUCACACAUGUGGGCCUAGAUUAUUUUGGGCCAAUAGAAGUUAAGAAAGGCAGAAGCCUAGUUAAAAGAUAUGGAGCACUUUUUACUUGCCUAACCUGUCGCGCAGUACACCUGGAGGUGGCGCAUUCCCUCAAUACAGAUUCCUGUAUAAACGCCAUCAGGAGGUUUAUCUGCCGCAGAGGCCAAGUCAAAGAAAUCCGGACGGAUAAUGGAACCAACUUCGUCAGCACAAACCGUGAGUUGAAACAAGCCAUUGCAGAGUUGAAUCACAGCAAAAUUCAGAAACGCUUGGUGCAGGACGUAAAAAGAUUGCUGCGUUCUGUAACUAACCAACAAGCCCUAGACGAUGAAGCCCUGCAGACAGUCUUCUGUGAAGCGGAGGCCAUACUGAACGACCGUCCAAUCACCACCUCCUCUGGCGAUCCCAAUGACAUCGAGGCCUUGACUCCAAACCACCUUCUUCAGCUGAAAGGUAAACCCAUCUUGCCACCAGGUUUAUUCAAGAAGGAUGACCUGUACGCUCGGAGACGCUGGAGGCAAGUGCAAUACAUCGCCGACCUCUUCUGGAAGAGGUGGACGACCGAGUACCUCCCUCAACUGCAAGAGCGGCAGAAGUGGAACAAAGUUCACAGAAACUUCACAGUUGGUGACAUCGUGCUCGUGGUGGAAGAGUCCGCACCCAGAGGUGCGUGGCCCAUUGGGCGCAUCACCGACACCAUGGCAGACUCCAAAGGGUGCGUUCGACGGGUCCGUGUCAAGACACAGACCAACGAGUUGGAAAAGCCCAUCACCAAGAUCUGCCUCCUGGUGGGGGUAGUUUAA